RNAcentral lists this ribosomal RNA (468 nucleotides) under uncultured bacterium. Its description in RNAcentral is "partial 16S ribosomal RNA". It matches the Rfam family "Bacterial small subunit ribosomal RNA", at positions 28 to 507 of the family's 1533-position model. The record is from RNAcentral.
GACGAACGCUGGCGGCGUGCUUAACACAUGCAAGUCGAACGGAAAGGCCCUGCUUUUGUGGGUUGCUCGAUUGGCGAACGCGUGAGUAACACGUGAGUAACCUGCCCUUGACUUUGUGAUAACUUCAGGAAACUGGGGCUAAUACCGGGUAUGAUCUCCUGCUCCGUGGUGUUGGAUGGAAAGAUUCGGCGGUUGUGGAUGGACUCGAGGGUUAUCCGCUUGUUGGGGGGGUAGUGGCUUACCACGGCUUUGACGGGUCGCCGGCAUGGGAGCGUGACCGGCGACAAUGGGCCUGCGAUACGGAGCAGACUGGUACGGGAGGCAGCAGGGGGGAGUAUUGCGCAACGAGGCGAAGCGUGAUGCAGCGACGCCGCGUGCGGGAUGACGGCUUUCGGGUUGUAAACCGAUUUCGAAUGUGACGAAGCGUGAGUGACGGUAAUGGGUAAAGAAGCACCGGCUAACUACGUG